RNAcentral lists this ribosomal RNA (253 nucleotides) under uncultured bacterium. Its description in RNAcentral is "partial 16S ribosomal RNA". It matches the Rfam family "Bacterial small subunit ribosomal RNA", at positions 524 to 776 of the family's 1533-position model. The record is from RNAcentral.
UACGUAGGGGGCAAGCGUUGUCCGGAUUUAUUGGGCGUAAAGAGCUCGUAGGCGGUUUGUCGCGUCUGCUGUGAAAACUGGGGGCUCAACCCCCAGCCUGCAGUGGGUACGGGCAGACUAGAGUGUUGCAGGGGAGACUGGAAUUCCUGGUGUAGCGGUGAAAUGCGCAGAUAUCAGGAGGAACACCGGUGGCGAAGGCGGUUCUCUGGGCCUGUACUGACGCUGAGGAGCGAAAGCGUGGGAAGCGAACAGG